UUGGAGGGCAAGUCUGGUGCCAGCAGCCGCGGUAAUUCCAGCUCCAAUAGCGUAUAUUAAAGUUGUUGCAGUUAAAAAGCUCGUAGUUGAACUUCGGGGUUCACCCAUUGGUCAGGCUUAAUUGUCUGUACUGGUGAGAUGAGUCUCUACCUUCUGAGGAACUUUCAUGCCAUUUAUUUGGUGUGGUUGGAAAUCAGGACUGUUACUUUGAAAAAAUUAGAGUGUUUAAAGCAGGCUAACGUCUGAAUACAUUAGCAUGGAAUAAUGAAAUAGGACGGAUUGAUUCUACUUCGUUGGUUUCUAGGGUCACCGUAAUGAUUAAUAGGGAUAGUUGGGGGCAUUAGUAUUCAAUUGUCAGAGGUGAAAUUCUUGGAUUUAUUGAAGACUAACUACUGCGAAAGCAUUUGCCAAGGAUGUUUUCAUUAAUCAAGAACGAAAGUUAGGGGAUCGAAGACGAUCAGAUACCGUCGUAGUCUUAACCAUAAACUAUGCCGACUAGGGAUCGGACGCAGUUAAUUUUAUAAUGACGUGUUCGGCACCUUACGGGAAACCAAAG
Molecule: ribosomal RNA, 556 nt
Filed under: uncultured Glomus
Lineage: Eukaryota; Fungi; Glomeromycota; Glomeromycetes; Glomerales; Glomeraceae
Description: SSU rRNA
Rfam family: Eukaryotic small subunit ribosomal RNA
Source: RNAcentral